GGGGCCAUGGCUCAGUGGUAGAACGUCUGCAUUUGCCAUGCAGAUGGCCCCAGGUUCAAUCCCUGGUGUCUCCA
Molecule: non-coding RNA, 74 nt
Organism: Heteronotia binoei (common prickly gecko)
Lineage: Eukaryota; Metazoa; Chordata; Lepidosauria; Squamata; Gekkonidae
Source: the annotation of a RefSeq genome assembly